Paramuricea clavata is the source of this 917-nucleotide non-coding RNA. NCBI's taxonomy places the organism in Eukaryota, Metazoa, Cnidaria, Anthozoa, Malacalcyonacea, Plexauridae. The record is from the annotation of a GenBank genome assembly.
GAUAUCUUCAUCAAUGAAUACAUCAAUAUCAGAGCUGACAGGUACCACCCAAUCUGACAGCUCUCUGGUUGAAGACAAUGAAGAAUAUAUAAAUGCUCUUGGAACAAGACCGCCAAUACCAGAUGACUUCAUGAUGAAGGAUGAAUACAUCUUUGUUUCACUGUUGUACUGACGAAGAAAGUAGACCAAGUGCUUCAACUAUUGUUGCCUCACUUGAACCAAUCAUUGAGCAAAGAGGAAUAACAGUUUAGAUUGUGUAAAUGUAUUGAACUGUAUCUAAGUAAAUGGAUCGGCGACACAACCUUGUUUGAGUCGAGGUUUGAGUUACAGGACACAGGAAAAUGCUUUGUAAAUCUUUCAUCUGUUUCAUGACGUUUUGACUUUCAUGACUUCGCGGGCACAACGGAGAGGUUCAACGUUGACUUCGAUUACCGCUACCUCUCGCUGCAUGGUUUCAUGCGCAUCUGAUUGGUUAUUCGGAUAUAUCAAACGCAUCUGAUUGGUUAAUUAACAAUUAUUCACCGAAGGCGAGGUGAUAUCGGUGAAUAAAAACCGAGACGAAGUCGAGGUUUUUAUUCCCGAUAAUCACCGAGCCUGAGGUGAAUAAUUGUUUUAGUAUAAUUUCAUAGGUGAUUAUUUGGGGAAAAUCGCUUAGGUGAUUAUCGCGUAAUAAUCACCUCAACGGUAACCAAUCAGCGUGGAGAAUUUUCAAUAAUCACCUAUGUAAUUAUACUAAUGUCCCUUAAUGGUAGUGGGAGUCAAAUCUGAACCUCUCUAAUAUAAUACCAUAGGCAGGCAGAAAAUAUACCGCUAUCUUCACAUGGAAGUAACUAAAAUAAAAUAUAUUUUAAUCAAUUAGUUAAUUAAAGUUUAAAACUAUGCUUGAAUGUUCUUGUUUAUAUUAAAGUGAUUUUGCU